This 460-nucleotide ribosomal RNA is filed under the name uncultured bacterium. RNAcentral's name for it is "partial 16S ribosomal RNA". It matches the Rfam family "Bacterial small subunit ribosomal RNA", at positions 338 to 795 of the family's 1533-position model. The record is from RNAcentral.
CCUACGGGUGGCAGCAGUGAGGAAUAUUGGUCAAUGGCCGGAAGUCUGAACCAGCCAAGCAGCGUGAGGGAGGAAGGCCCAGAGGGUUGUAGACUUCUUUUAUAUGGGAACAAAACGUUCCACUCGUGCGGUUUUGUAUGUACCCUAUGAAAAAGGAUCGGCUAACUCCGUGCCAGCAGCCGCGGUAAUACGGAGGAUCCGAGUGUUAUCCGGAUUUAUUGGGUUUAAAGGGAGCGUAGGGGGAUUGUUAAGUCAGUUGUGAAAGUGUGCGGCUCAACCGUAAAAUUGCAGUUGAAACUGGCAGUCUUGAGUACAGUAGAGGUGUGCGGAAUUCGUGGUGUAGCGGUGAAAUGCUUAGAUAUCACGAAGAACUCCGAUUGCGAAGGCAGUUCACUGGACUGCAACUGACACUGAGGCUCGAAAGUGUGGGUAUCAAACAGGAUUAGAUACCCGAGUAGUC